This is a non-coding RNA of Biomphalaria pfeifferi, 220 nucleotides long. NCBI's taxonomy places the organism in Eukaryota, Metazoa, Mollusca, Gastropoda, Planorbidae. The record is from the annotation of a GenBank genome assembly.
CUUUACUUGAGACGUGAGCACCCAGGCUAGUUCUUCACAGUCACAGAUGUUGAGUUGGCAUUCUUUAAGGGAACUUCAGAAAGUAUCUUUAUAUGUCAUGUUGAUACUGUUAAGAAUUGUUGCCAUUAUGUAAAACACAUUUCUUUCUAAAGGAAUAAUUGUAUCACCAGCACAAUUUUGUUUUCAAUAACUUUUUACUAAUUUUUUUUUUUUUAAAAAA